GUUUUAAUAGUUUAUAAAAAACAUUGGUCUUGUAAACCAAAAAAGAAAUCUUUUUCUUAAAGCU
Molecule: transfer RNA, 64 nt
Filed under: Caenis pycnacantha
Lineage: Eukaryota; Metazoa; Arthropoda; Insecta; Ephemeroptera; Caenidae
Description: tRNA-Thr
Rfam family: tRNA
About the family: Transfer RNA (tRNA) molecules are approximately 80 nucleotides in length.
Source: RNAcentral